CGCGUAGGAAUUUACCCAAUCGUGGGGAACAACUUGGGGAAACUCAAGCUAAUACCGCAUAAGCCCUACGGGGGAAAGCAGGGGCUCUUCGGACCUUGCGCGAUUGGAUGAGCCUGCGUGAGAUUAGCUAGUUGGUAGGGUAAAAGCCUACCAAGGCGACGAUCUCUAGCUGGUUUGAGAGAACGACCAGCCACACUGGGACUGAGACACGGCCCAGACUCCUACGGGAGGCAGCAGUGGGGAAUAUUGGACAAUGGGCGCAAGCCUGAUCCAGCAAUGCCGCGUGUGUGAAGAAGGCCCGAGGGUUGUAAAGCACUUUCAGUAGGGAGGAAAUGUUGAGGGCUAAUACCGCUCAAAUAUGACGUAACCUACAGAAGAAGCACCGGCUAACUCCGUGCCAGCCCGCCGCGG
This 411-nucleotide ribosomal RNA is filed under the name uncultured Gammaproteobacteria bacterium. Its description in RNAcentral is "bacterial SSU rRNA". It matches the Rfam family "Bacterial small subunit ribosomal RNA", at positions 114 to 520 of the family's 1533-position model. Lineage: Bacteria; Pseudomonadati; Pseudomonadota; Gammaproteobacteria. The record is from RNAcentral.